RNAcentral lists this ribosomal RNA (526 nucleotides) under uncultured bacterium. RNAcentral describes it as "bacterial SSU rRNA". It matches the Rfam family "Bacterial small subunit ribosomal RNA", at positions 355 to 899 of the family's 1533-position model. The record is from RNAcentral.
UGGGGAAUCUUGGACAAUGGGGGCAACCCUGAUCCAGCCAUGCCGCGUGAGUGAUGAAGGCCUUAGGGUCGUAAAGCUCUUUCGCCUGUGAAGAUAAUGACGGUAGCAGGUAAAGAAACCCCGGCUAACUCCGUGCCAGCAGCCGCGGUAAUACGGAGGGGGUUAGCGUUGUUCGGAAUUACUGGGCGUAAAGCGCGCGUAGGCGGAUUGUUAAGUCGGGGGUGAAAGUCCCGGGGCUCAACCCCGGAACUGCCUUCGAUACUGGCAAUCUAGAGAUCUGGAGAGGCGAGUGGAAUUCCGAGUGUAGAGGUGAAAUUCGUAGAUAUUUGGAGGAACACCAGUGGCGAAGGCGGCUCACUGGCUCGAUACUGACGCUGAGGUGCGAAAGUGUGGGGAGCAAACAGGAUUAGAUACCCUGGUAGUCCACACCGUAAACGAUGAAUGCCAGUCGUCGGGUAGCAUGCUAUUCGGUGACACACCUAACGGAUUAAGCAUUCCGCCUGGGGAGUACGGUCGCAGAUUAAAA